This 79-nucleotide transfer RNA is filed under the name Bacillus anthracis str. Sterne. RNAcentral's name for it is "tRNA-Val". It matches the Rfam family "tRNA". Rfam says of the family: Transfer RNA (tRNA) molecules are approximately 80 nucleotides in length. Their secondary structure includes four short double-helical elements and three loops (D, anti-codon, and T loops). Lineage: Bacteria; Bacillati; Bacillota; Bacilli; Caryophanales; Bacillaceae. RNAcentral also lists the same sequence under 3 other names. The record is from RNAcentral.
GGAGGAUUAGCUCAGCUGGGAGAGCACCUGCCUUACAAGCAGGGGGUCGGCGGUUCGAUCCCGUCAUCCUCCACCAUUU